GUGGGGAAUUUUGGACAAUGGGCGAAAGCCUGAUCCAGCAAUGCCGCGUGUGUGAAGAAGACCUUCGGGUUGUAAAGCACUUUUGGCAGGGAAGAAACAGUGCGUGCUAAUACCAUGCGCGAAUGACGGUACCUGCAGAAUAAGCACCGGCUAACUACGUGCCAGCAGCCGCGGUAAUACGUAGGGUGCAAGCGUUAAUCGGAAUUACUGGGCGUAAAGCGUGCGCAGGCGGCUUUGUAAGACGGAUGUGAAAGCCCCGGGCUCAACCUGGGAAGUGCAGUCGUGACUGCAAGGCUAGAGUGUGGCAGAGGGAGGUGGAAUUCCGCGUGUAGCAGUGAAAUGCGUAGAGAUGCGGAGGAACACCGAUGGCGAAGGCAGCCUCCUGGGAUAACACUGACGCUCAGGCACGAAAGCGUGGGGAGCAAACAGGAUUAGAUACCCGGGUAGUCC
Molecule: ribosomal RNA, 450 nt
Filed under: uncultured bacterium
Lineage: Bacteria
Description: partial 16S ribosomal RNA
Rfam family: Bacterial small subunit ribosomal RNA
Source: RNAcentral